Long non-coding RNA from Lytechinus pictus (painted urchin), 3169 nucleotides. RefSeq lists it as uncharacterized. The transcript is spliced from 4 exons. Lineage: Eukaryota; Metazoa; Echinodermata; Echinoidea; Temnopleuroida; Toxopneustidae. The record is from RefSeq and is a predicted model, not a curated record.
CCCACAAUUCCCUACGAUAUCUGUGCGAAGUGUCGUUCUUUUGGACUCUGCGAAAUUCAACAUUUGAAAUACAAUAGCAAGACUAAUUAUCUGUUUAUAGAAUUAGUAUCCGGAAUCAUGAUUUCUGAGUGAAAUUCAGUUGAGCGGAAAAUUAUGAGGGAACAUCUACAUCAAAGUAAUGGCAUUCCAUACAAACAAAAAUCCAAUGGGAUCAAGUUCUUAGCAGUCCCAGUCCAGUCAGAAGUACAAAGUCAACUACCAUUUACACAUCACCAAGAGUUACAAUCUGAUGAGGAACAGGAUAUUUGAACUGAAAACUUGUAAGGUUCCGCAGGCAGUUUGAGUAUCACCAGGGCAGAUUAUAAGAACAAAUAUGGAGGCCAAGUUCAUAACAAGUAGCUACUUCAUCACAAUUACACAUUUAAAAAAUUGAAUGAAUUUGAAUAAACAUGUCAAUACAUAUUGAAUGUUGCUUGCACAACACAUCUGUAGAAAAAAAUUUGGAGUAUUGAUAUUUAGGUCCAUAGGUUUCACACAAGAUUGAAAUAUUUUCCCAAAGGGCACACCUACCCACCCUUUAUUAAUGUUCUAAUCAUCUACAUGUAGUAGUAGUGAAAGAACUGUUAAUGAUAUAAGUAGUUUGAAAGGGAUAAGUUGUAUUCUGGUAAUAUAAUCAAUCCAGAAUGGGUCUUUACUGAGUUCUGGGCUAUGUACAUGCCUACAGACAUACAUAAGACAAUAAGAAAUAAUGGAUUUUCAUUUAAAAUGUGCAUACUAAAAAAAACAAGGUGACAGAACAAAGGAUUAAGAAAUCACUCUCCUGGACCCCAUUUCAUUAAGUCUAACCAUUACUCUAACUCUUUGCCAUUCUGGUAAUUACCAUGGAAACAUUAAAGUAACAUAUCAACAUUGAGGUUCCCAUGCUAGUUGCUAGUUACAAUUGGGGCAAAUUUACCAUAAUUGACGUCUUUAUGAAACAAGGAUCUGUAGUGCUGGACAUUAAGCCGUUGAAUUUAUUUUUUGGGGGAAGUGAAAAGUUACACUGUUUUGUUCGUUUUUAAUCUCUUUUUGUUCUUGUAGCACUGUAUUGUUCAUGUCCUAUUAUGAACUAAAUUAGCUCUUCAAAUGAAAAAAAACAAUUGUUGGAAAUAGAACACAGCUCUAGCAGCACUUCACAACAAUAGACAAUAAGCAAUUUUGUUACUAAUUUACUAAUGUGCAGAUUUGGGAAGGCACUCUUUAGAGAAAUGUGGCAAUGUGCUCCCUUUUUUGUGAAGUGCCCUCGGUUAGAUUAGCAUGCUAUUUCUUGUCAGCAAAUGCUGAAAAAAAAUUACUUGAUAUUUGAGUAACCGACUUUGAGAGAGAGGUAUAUCGUUAAUUUUUUUAAUGACAUCCUUGAUGUCCCCUUAUAUUGACUAAAUAAGGCUUAUCAAUACCUAUGAAAGUAAUUUUUUUUAAUUUGUUUUCUCUAGAUUUUACCAAAAAAAUUACAUCCCCUCCCUUGUGACAGCCUUGCAAUUUCUGUUGCAUUCAUUAUAUGCAUUUUGCUGAUGUAAUGUGAUGCUUUGGCGAGAAAAAGAGGAUAGGAAUAUCUUGAUCACAUAUUCAGAAAUUGAUUCCUUAAUAAAUAUUUUAAUUUGAAAUAUACUUUCUAAUUUUGAUAUUCGUGAUUUAUUUAUUCACAUUGCGUGAAAGAUAUGUGAUAAUGAUGUUAUUGCUACCAAACUGUGUUGUGAUGUAGGUAAUGAUGAUAAUGAAGAAUACUUCUAUAUGACUGGAAUAUGAUGGUGCUACUGAUUGAUUGAUUUUGUUUGUCAGGUAUCUAUGGGUAUAAUACUAGUACAACAGGUAAGAGUAUAACAAAGUAUCAAAAUACCAUGCAUGCAUGGCAAGAUAGCCCAUAAAAAUAUGGCAUACUGUGACAUUUUGAGAUCAGGUGCAGCCAAAUUAGAUAUUCUUCCUAAAGAGAUAAAUGAGUUUGAUACUUUGAUUUAAGAGUGGGAUAAAAAUUAUAUGAGAAUAAUUGUUUGCUCACAUGAUUAUGUGGUACAUAUGUAUGUGUGUGUGUGGAAGAGAGGGGGAAAGGUGGGAUCGAUGGAUAGAUUUUGGGGCGGGCAGGUACAAAUAAAAUUUCAUCUUGUUUGGAAGUGACCUUUUUAAGAUAGCCUUGAUGAGAGUGAAUUCAUGAGGGGGGGGGGGGUACUGGGCUGUCUUAAUUUUGCUCCCAUCCCAAACUCAGAUUUUUUUUUUUUUAAUCUUUAUAAGAUUUGCACCAGAUUGUUCAUUUCAAUUUCAAAAUAAAGACAAAAUGGCCUUCUAAAUUGCUUUGCUCUCUUGCUCAGAUUUCUCUGAUCAUUUUAAGUAUUUACCCCCCCCCCCCCUAAAAAAAACCCCAAACAUAUAAAUAAUUAUGGCUAUUAAUGAUGUGUAAUGAAAAUAAUAUGCAGUGAUGACUGCAUGAAUAGAUCGAGCAAGCAGAUCCCUAAGUUCAAUCCUAUUAAUGAAUUCCUUGUAAGCAUCCACAUUUCUUCAAGGGAAAUAGCUAUAGCAAAUAAAUAAUUUUAUUAAUUGAUGUAGUAAUAAUCACGACAGGAAAAUAUGUAAACAAGGAACGAUGAAUUAACAACUGAAUACCGGGGGGUGAACGGGGGAAUGAAUGACAUCAUCUACCUUAUUAAUAUUAUUUACCUGAGACGCAACUCUAUGAAUUCAUUUCAUAAUCAAUCACGUCGCGCAUUAUGCUAAUUAGUAACAAUAUACUUAUUUGCAUAUCUUUACGCUGUGCGCGCAGGCCAAUUAUGACCACGCCUCCGUUUCGCUGGUGUGCCAUGAAGUUGUGGUGUCCAUAGGCUUGUACGCGAAAAAUGGGAGCAGUGUGCACUUUUGACCUUCCAAAAUUUCCCCAUGUCUAACCGGAUGCAGAAGCGGAGUUUCACCCCCGAUCCCGGCGCCCGCACGCGAUGUUUUGAAGUCGGCAGCGCAUUAAUAUUUAUACGUGUGUGGAACUUCAUAUUGGCUCUAAAUCAUCAAUUUUGAGACUGAUAGAAGCAUGGAAAAGAAGUGAAACUUUGUGUAAACAAGGGGGAGGGGACACUUCCAUUUGAUGAGUGGACACCAUGCGUGACCCCCAAAACAUGUAAAAAGGAUCUCUUUGUCAAGAUCAGGCACA